AGAGUUUGAUCCUGGCUCAGAUUGAACGCUGGCGGCAGGCUUAACACAUGCAAGUCGAGCGGUAGCACAGGGGAGCUUGCUCCCUGGGUGACGAGCGGCGGACGGGUGAGUAAUGUCUGGGAAACUGCCUGAUGGAGGGGGAUAACUACUGGAAACGGUAGCUAAUACCGCAUAACGUCGCAAGACCAAAGAGGGGGACCUUCGGGCCUCUUGCCAUCAGAUGUGCCCAGAUGGGAUUAGCUAGUAGGUGGGGUAAUGGCUCACCUAGGCGACGAUCCCUAGCUGGUCUGAGAGGAUGACCAGCCACACUGGAACUGAGACACGGUCCAGACUCCUACGGGAGGCAGCAGUGGGGAAUAUUGCACAAUGGGCGCAAGCCUGAUGCAGCCAUGCCGCGUGUGUGAAGAAGGCCUUCGGGUUGUAAAGCACUUUCAGCGAGGAGGAAGGUGGUGAGCUUAAUACGCUCAUCAAUUGACGUUACUCGCAGAAGAAGCACCGGCUAACUCCGUGCCAGCAGCCGCGGU
This 524-nucleotide ribosomal RNA is filed under the name Serratia marcescens. RNAcentral's name for it is "bacterial SSU rRNA". It matches the Rfam family "Bacterial small subunit ribosomal RNA", at positions 8 to 521 of the family's 1533-position model. Lineage: Bacteria; Pseudomonadati; Pseudomonadota; Gammaproteobacteria; Enterobacterales; Yersiniaceae. The record is from RNAcentral.